This 70-nucleotide transfer RNA is filed under the name Schistosoma turkestanicum. Its description in RNAcentral is "tRNA-Arg". The record is from RNAcentral. Lineage: Eukaryota; Metazoa; Platyhelminthes; Trematoda; Strigeidida; Schistosomatidae.
CUGAUAUUCAAAGUAAAGUGAGUUUAUGUUUCGGCCAUAAAUCUGUGGAUGUGAAAUAUCUACUGUCAGA